GACGAACGCUGGCGGCGUGCCUAAUACAUGCAAGUAGAACGCUGAAGAGAGGAGCUUGCUCUUCUUGGAUGAGUUGCGAACGGGUGAGUAACGCGUAGGUAACCUGCCUUGUAGCGGGGGAUAACUAUUGGAAACGAUAGCUAAUACCGCAUAACAAUGGAUGACACAUGUCAUUUAUUUGAAAGGGGCAAUUGCUCCACUAUAAGAUGGACCUGCGUUGUAUUAGCUAGUAGGUGAGGUAAUGGCUCACCUAGGCGACGAUACAUAGCCGACCUGAGAGGGUGAUCGGCCACACUGGGACUGAGACACGGCCCAGACUCCUACGGGAGGCAGCAGUAGGGAAUCUUCGGCAAUGGGGGCAACCCUGACCGAGCAACGCCGCGUGAAUGAAGAAGGUUUUCGGAUCGUAAAGCUCUGUUGUAAGUCAAGAACGGGUGUGAGAGUGGAAAGUUCACACUGUGACGGUAGCUUACCAGAAAGGGACGGCUAACUACGUG
RNAcentral lists this ribosomal RNA (497 nucleotides) under uncultured bacterium. RNAcentral's name for it is "partial 16S ribosomal RNA". It matches the Rfam family "Bacterial small subunit ribosomal RNA", at positions 28 to 507 of the family's 1533-position model. The record is from RNAcentral.